Chenopodium quinoa (quinoa) is the source of this 857-nucleotide long non-coding RNA. RefSeq lists it as uncharacterized. Lineage: Eukaryota; Viridiplantae; Streptophyta; Magnoliopsida; Caryophyllales; Amaranthaceae. The transcript is spliced from 2 exons. The record is from RefSeq and is a predicted model, not a curated record.
GUUGUUGGAAGGCCACCAUUCCUUUCACCUCUCAAGUAGCCGUCAUUCUCCUUCAUCACUUCCCCUCUUCAUAUCCUCAUUCUCUCACUUCAGUCCCUUUUCUAAACCCUAACUCCUCUCUCUUCCAACUUAUUCCCUCAAUGAAGUGAGAGGAAUACGCAGAACAACCGAAUGACCCAUGCCUAUCAUACCACCAUUUCAAAAGCCAUCUCCACCGAUGCUGCCACGCACCAGUCACUUUUCUCUCCAUCACGCAUUACACAACGACCCCUGUUUUCCAACCCUAACUUUGAUGCGGUGCGCGAAAGUUUGAUCGUGGUGAUUUGAUGCUCGAAAGUCCAAUUGUGAUGAUGUAUGUAUGGGUGGUUUAAAUGACAGAAGAAUCACCCCUUGGUUCGAUUGAACCAUUAAAUCUCUGUUUAUGGCCGGAAGUUGCAAGGUGGCUGGUGGAUGCAAACAGUUGCCUUUGAGCGGUGGGUCAAUUGAGAGGAACAAAGGCAGCAAGUGGUUCGUGUGAGGUUGUUGGAGGUGUGCGAUUUGGGGGCAAGUUGCCGUUUUGUGGGUGUUUGAUGUGGCUGCUUUGUUUUUUUAUGCGGCGUUUAUGGUUGUUUGGUGCGACUGCUGGCGGCUGUUAAGUUUGAUGAUUAAGGUGGUUGCGAGUUGCGAGGACUGGAAGCGUGGUGGUGGUUUGUAUCGGCACCUGCUUUCUAUAUCUCUAUUUUCAUCUUAAAACCCUUUAUGGGUCUUAAUUAAUUGUUGUUUGUAAUGUAAUUUUUUUUUUCGGGAGGACUUAAGUCCUCACUAAUUAAACUACUGUAUUUUAAAUGUAGUUGAUAAAUAAUGUUUAUUUUAUUUUA